RNAcentral lists this ribosomal RNA (253 nucleotides) under uncultured bacterium. RNAcentral's name for it is "partial 16S ribosomal RNA". It matches the Rfam family "Bacterial small subunit ribosomal RNA", at positions 524 to 776 of the family's 1533-position model. The record is from RNAcentral.
UACGAAGGGGGCUAGCGUUGCUCGGAAUCACUGGGCGUAAAGGGCGCGUAGGCGGUGCUGUAAGUCUGUAGUGAAAUCUCUGGGCUCAACUCAGAGUCUGCUAUAGAAACUGCAGUGCUGGAGUGUGGGAGAGGUGAGUGGAAUUCCCGGUGUAGCGGUGAAAUGCGUAGAUAUCAGGAGGAACACCUGUGGCGAAAGCGGCUCACUGGACCACAACUGACGCUGAGGCGCGAAAGCUAGGGGAGCAAACAGG